RNAcentral lists this small nucleolar RNA (84 nucleotides) under Phycomyces blakesleeanus NRRL 1555(-). Lineage: Eukaryota; Fungi; Mucoromycota; Mucoromycetes; Mucorales; Phycomycetaceae. The record is from RNAcentral.
AUAUGAUGAUCUAUUAGAUGACGAGUCAGAUGAGUAAUUCGGUGUUGACACAACUUUUUUAUUACCAUUCAUGCAAAACUGAGA